UAGAUACCCUGGUAGUCCACGCCGUAAACGUUGGGCACUAGGUGUGGGGUCGCUUGGUUUUACUGGGUGGUUCCGCGCCGCAGCUAACGCAUUAAGUGCCCCGCCUGGGGAGUACGGCCGCAAGGCUAAAACUCAAAGGAAUUGACGGGGGCCCGCACAAGCGGCGGAGCAUGCGGAUUAAUUCGAUGCAACGCGAAGAACCUUACCAGGGCUUGACAUGGGGGCGGCGGCGUCGGAGACGGCGUCUCCU
This 250-nucleotide ribosomal RNA is filed under the name uncultured bacterium. Its description in RNAcentral is "partial 16S ribosomal RNA". It matches the Rfam family "Bacterial small subunit ribosomal RNA", at positions 779 to 1017 of the family's 1533-position model. The record is from RNAcentral.